AACGUUGGCCCAAGAUGAAAACAUCUCGCUAGGAUUCGUCCUUUUUUUUUUUUUUUUUGCGGGUGUAGGGUUCGUCUGUUCUGAGAGGUGAGAGCCCAGACCUCGGCCGCCGCCCUCUUCUUCUUCUCCGCCAAGCCAGCCGGCCAUAACCCUCCUCCUCCGGUAAGGGUCAGUAGCGCGCCAGAUCUUUAAAUUUCCGCGGGAGGGCUGCUGAGCUUCACGCUCCAGUCCACGCCGGAUCCGACACUGGAUUUGAAUUUGAAUUGAAUUUCAGUGUCUGUCCGUCCGUCCGCCUUGCUCUGGCGCCACAUCUUCCUUGUUCUUCUUCAUUCAUUCAUGGGAGUACUGCUGUUUAUCAAUCUAUUUAUAUGACUGGAUCAAUAGCAGCAGCACUCGGAUUGCACCUCCAGGGUACGGAUAACUUUCCAAUUCGUCGGAAUAAUAAUAAGAGUAAUAAUCGGCGAGCUUGUGUAGCUGCAGUCCGACUGGGAGGGGGCUUUGCUGCCCCGGCGCAGCGCUGAGUUAUUAUAAAUAGUGGCAGAAUAAGGACGAGGAUUGGCCUGCAAUAGUCGAGAGCCUCCACGGUUGCCUUAAACAUUCAUUCCAAGCCUUCGCCGGAGCUGCGAUAUACCACUUCGACCGAACCACCGAAAUACAGCUUCCCACAUCGCCAAUGGAGGGGAAUAAUAGCGAUCACAACGACAGUUCCCACAGCCAAAUAACAACUGGACGACGAAGAUAGACUCAGCGCUCUAACUGAUGAUAUUUUACUGUCCAUCUUGGGGAGAGUCAGUUCACUUGUGGCUACAAGGACAAGUGUGCUCUCUACACGGUGGAGGCAUCUGCCUUGGUUGCUGCCUGAACUCAGCAUCGAUGUCCAGGAUUUCCUAUCCACUCCGUACGCUGACCUUGUUGAGGCAAAUGAUAUGGAACAAGCCAUGGCGUCUUUGACCAAAGCAACCAGGAGUUUGUUAGAUAAACAACAGAGAGGAUCCACUAUCUCAAGUUUGCGCCUUAACCUCUAUUUGAUCAACACUUUCCUUUGCGAAGUUGGCCCACUGUUAGGUGAUGCGAUCGACAGUGGUUUGUUGAAAGAUUUAAAUCUCGGCAUUCUUGAUGAGACAAAGACUCUGGACCGUAGCGACGAAGAGAUGCAACAGCGAGCUCAAGACAUAGAUGAUUUUUUCACUGCCUACCCUAGUGUGCUCCACUGCCUCACAAAGCUCUUUCUAAAAAUUGUAGGCUUUGACAAAUUGGACAUGCACCAUGUCCUGUUUGACUGCUGCAAGCAACUUAAGCAUCUAACCCUUUAUCAUUGUGAUACUGGUUCCUACUCUGUCUUUAAGAUUGAUGCGCCAGACUCAAAACUCUGUGUUCUUGAAAUUGAGAAGUGUCGCUUUCUGAGAAUCGACCUUGUCUGCCUCCCUAAAUUGGAGAAGUUCUUUUGUGAGUCUUGGAUAUCUCAGUGUGCCCCGUUGACCUUUGGUUUUGUCCCAUCACUUGGGCAAUUAGAACUCUCAUGUGGUUCAGUUUGUGAGGAAGACAUAUUUAAAUUAAGUGAGCUUCUACAUGGAGUAACAAGCAUACAUACUCUCUCAUUGGAUUUCCAAGGUGAAGCCCUUUGGUUGCAACCUGAAAUGGAGGAACUCCGCACCGCAUUCAGCAAGCUAAGGAAGCUGUACGUACGUAGGUGGUAUAUUUGUUGAAUUUGACAUUUUAUGGACAAUGGCCUUUCUUGUAGCAGCACCAUCUGUCGAAAUGUUACAUAUUGAGGUAUGGGAACAUACAUGCGAUUUGGGCGAGGCCAGACCCGCUUCCUACCUUGACAGGAGUCCAAAGUGGGAAAUGCACUUGGAUAGCAGCUCCGAGAACAAGCUUCUGAAAGAGCUAGAAUUCGCUGGAUUUAAAUCGCUAGAACAACAGUUUACAUUUAUAAGGUCCAUGUUGGAGCGAUCUCCCAACUUGCAAAAGAUAGUACUGAGAGAUGAUGAGCAGUGUGCUGAUUGUGACGCCCUUGAGGCACCUCGUCCUUCGAGAUUUCCAAGGAGGAGGAGCAAGAAGUGGUUGUUAAGCGGAUUAGAGAUGGCAUGUUCUCGCCGGAGAUAAUUUUUCAUGGAUAAGGAAAGAUGACUUGUCUCAGGUCAAAUAAUUUUUGAGGUCAUCUUCAUCACCCUGGCGGUUUCCAUGACGAUGAGGGAGUAAUUCAUCCUCGGGGUUGAGGGUAUGUACCAGUAGCUAUGUGUUUGAUCCAGGGUUUAUAAGUUGACGAGUCGAAGACUUAACUAAUCUAGACUAGUCUAGAUUAGUGCUAACUAGUUAACAUGGUACUGUAGUACUCAGCUACUAAUACCUAGUGAUAGUAUGUAGUAUAUACUAACAGUACAUUAUGCAAUAAAACUAGCCACUAUCUAAAUAA
This is a non-coding RNA of Aegilops tauschii subsp. strangulata, 2416 nucleotides long. The record is from RefSeq and is a predicted model, not a curated record. Lineage: Eukaryota; Viridiplantae; Streptophyta; Magnoliopsida; Poales; Poaceae.